GACGAACGCUGGCGGCGUGCUUAACACAUGCCAGUCGAACGGAAAGGCCCUGCUUUUGUGGGGUGCUCGAGUGGCGAACGGGUGAGUAACACGUGAGUAACCUGCCCUUGACUUUGGGAUAACUUCAGGAAACUGGGGCUAAUACCGGAUAGGAGCUCCUGCUGCAUGGUGGGGGUUGGAAAGUUUCGGCGGUUGGGGAUGGACUCGCGGCUUAUCAGCUUGUUGGUGGGGUAGUGGCUUACCAAGGCUUUGACGGGUAGCCGGCCUGAGAGGGUGACCGGCCACAUUGGGACUGAGAUACGGCCCAGAAGCCUACGGGAGGCAGCAGUGGGGAAUAUUGCACAAUGGGCGGAAGCCUGAUGCAGCAACGCCGCGUGCGGGAUGACGGCCUUCGGGUUGUAAACCGCUUUCGCCUGUGACGAAGCGUGAGUGACGGUAAUGGGUAAAGAAGCACCGGCUAACUACGUG
This 468-nucleotide ribosomal RNA is filed under the name uncultured bacterium. RNAcentral's name for it is "partial 16S ribosomal RNA". It matches the Rfam family "Bacterial small subunit ribosomal RNA", at positions 28 to 507 of the family's 1533-position model. The record is from RNAcentral.